This is a long non-coding RNA of Choloepus didactylus (southern two-toed sloth), 591 nucleotides long. RefSeq lists it as uncharacterized. NCBI's taxonomy places the organism in Eukaryota, Metazoa, Chordata, Mammalia, Pilosa, Megalonychidae. The transcript is spliced from 3 exons. The record is from RefSeq and is a predicted model, not a curated record.
AGGAAGAACUAGCUCUGCCGAUAUCUUGAUUUUAAGACUCAUUCUGGACUUCUGACCUCCAGAACUGCUCAGCCACCCCAUGGAAGAGCAGAGAAGGCUAUGCCCACCCUGGCUCUGGGCCAAGGGAGAUGGAGCAAAGAGUGGGCCCCGGAGUGUGAACAGAGGUCACUGCUGGAAGUGCAGUCAUGUCCCCAGGCCUGGUCACCUCAGGGACUCUGGGAGAGGGAGCGUGCUACCCUGGAUCGUCCUGCACGGAGUCACCGAGAGGAAGCGUGGCCCAUCCCUCCUGGCUUCCAUGCCCUCUUUCUCAGGGUUCAAGGGGUCAUUUCAGAAAGGAAAGUCUUGAAGCCCUUGACAAAUGACUUCAAGCCUCCUAAUGGGCAUCAGCACUGAAUGGACUGCCGAAAGCUGAAGCUCCCAAAGGAUCCUUCAGUGCAGCUUGGUACAGUGGAGAAAGACUUGAGGGACAAGUAGCCCUGGGUUCAAAUCUUGUCUCAACCACUUAGUAUCUGUGUGGACUUCGGCAGCAUCUACUUUCACUGCACCCCAGUAAAUAGCAAUUAAUAAUAGUAACCGCCUUGGAGAAUUGUU